CGCACCUUGCGCCCCUCGGUAUUCCGAGGAGCAUGCCUGUUUGAGUGUCAUGGAAUCAUCAACCUCAACACCUUGUUGUGUUGAAGGCUUGGACUUGGAGGCUUGUGCCGGCGUCAGUCGGCUCCUCUGGAAUGCAUUAGCUGGACUUUUGAGUCUGGUUGCACGGUGUGAUAAUUAUCUGCAUCGUCGGCCUCUCUAAUGGGACCAGCUUCCAACCGUCACCUUCACGGAGACAAUUUACUUGACCUCUGACCUCAAAUCAGGUAGGACUACCCGCUGAACUUAA
This 286-nucleotide unclassified non-coding RNA is filed under the name Dacryobolus sudans. RNAcentral's name for it is "partial contains 5.8S ribosomal RNA, internal transcribed spacer 2, and large subunit ribosomal RNA". Lineage: Eukaryota; Fungi; Basidiomycota; Agaricomycetes; Polyporales; Dacryobolaceae. The record is from RNAcentral.